AGUAUUUCUCUUGCUUUUAUCUGAGACUUCAGCUUUCUGCCUCUGAGCGAGUGUGCAUGAGUGUGUGUGCUGGAGGGAGAAACGAGUUAAAGAGAGGAAGGGAGGGAGGGAGAGCCAAGCGGCAUUUAUUUUCUUCCCCCUGCUCCCUGUCACUCCAUCCUUCCUCCCCUAACCUGGACCACCCUCCAGCCCUGCUUCCAGCCCAAACCAGGACCCCUGACCACCCCGGGACCCUUUGACUCUCCUCACUUCUCCACCCCACUAACCACCACCCCAGGUUUUCCUUUGUGGUUCUCGUUUGGAGUGUCGACUGCUAGGAUUUCAGCUUCACACAAUCCUCAGAGCCUAGCUGCCAGGAGUAAUUUGGUCUAAAGACACCUCGGCUGAACGUGUGCAGCGAAGUAAAUUGUGCAUAGAAAAAGUACGUUUUGCCAAGUUUCUCAAACUCCCUGUCCUCCGUUCAGCCUCGGUCACAGUUUAGUUUAGAGGUUAAGUUUUAAUCUCAUCAAAUAGACGACAAAAAAUGCUGUUUUCAUGAUCUGGGGAAAAGAUCUGUGAAAAAUAAAAGGUUUGUAAUGAAUGCAUUCAGUGUAGAAAUCUUGAUUAAGAUCUUAACAGAACGCUUUACAUGGUGGGACACAGAAUGCAGCGAUGGCACAACCACCAAAAAACGGCAGAUACGAGCUUUGGGAGAUGAGCGGAUGGUGGUUUACCUGUUAUGAGUCAUGUGCUGCAGAUCAGACGCUCUGAUCAUCGUUAGUGUGAGCAACUUUAGCAGGACUUCUGUCAGUUUAUAGGCUCGUGUUGACGCAACGCCAAGGUGGAAGGAGAUCAGCAAUGACCUUAGAGAAGAAACAUUUGCUGCUCAUCAAUGUGGGAAUUUAGGAUUGUGCAGAGAGGAAGAUUAUUCCCAAGAGGACAAACAUCUCCAGGUGUGGACGUCUCAACGGA
Long non-coding RNA from Fundulus heteroclitus (mummichog), 951 nucleotides. RefSeq lists it as uncharacterized. The transcript has 3 exons. Lineage: Eukaryota; Metazoa; Chordata; Actinopteri; Cyprinodontiformes; Fundulidae. The record is from RefSeq and is a predicted model, not a curated record.